RNAcentral lists this ribosomal RNA (253 nucleotides) under uncultured bacterium. Its description in RNAcentral is "partial 16S ribosomal RNA". It matches the Rfam family "Bacterial small subunit ribosomal RNA", at positions 524 to 776 of the family's 1533-position model. The record is from RNAcentral. RNAcentral also lists the same sequence under 1 other name.
UACGAAGGGUGCAAGCGUUACUCGGAAUUACUGGGCGUAAAGCGUGCGUAGGUGGUCUGUUAAGUCUGAUGUGAAAGCCCCGGGCUCAACCUGGGAAUGGCAUUGGAUACUGGCAGUCUAGAGUGCGGUAGAGGGGUGUGGAAUUCCCGGUGUAGCAGUGAAAUGCGUAGAUAUCGGGAGGAACAUCCGUGGCGAAGGCGACACCCUGGACCAGCACUGACACUGAGGCACGAAAGCGUGGGGAGCAAACAGG